RNAcentral lists this transfer RNA (73 nucleotides) under Cordylochernes scorpioides. RNAcentral's name for it is "tRNA-Thr". It matches the Rfam family "tRNA". From Rfam's summary of the family: Transfer RNA (tRNA) molecules are approximately 80 nucleotides in length. Their secondary structure includes four short double-helical elements and three loops (D, anti-codon, and T loops). Lineage: Eukaryota; Metazoa; Arthropoda; Arachnida; Pseudoscorpiones; Chernetidae. The record is from RNAcentral.
UCCAGGGUAGCCUAGUGGACAUGGCAUCUGCCCGGUAAGCGGAACACAGUGGGUUCGAUUCCCAUCCCUGGAC